This 119-nucleotide ribosomal RNA is filed under the name Helianthus annuus (common sunflower). The record is from RNAcentral. Lineage: Eukaryota; Viridiplantae; Streptophyta; Magnoliopsida; Asterales; Asteraceae.
GGUUGCGAUCAUACCAGCACUAAUGCACCGGAUCCCAUCGGGACUCCGCAGUUAAGCGUGCUUGGGCGAGAGUAGUACUAGGAUGGGUGACCCCCUGGGAAGUCCUCGUGUUGCAACCC